Molecule: ribosomal RNA, 530 nt
Filed under: uncultured Ascomycota
Lineage: Eukaryota; Fungi; Ascomycota
Description: eukaryotic LSU rRNA
Rfam family: 5.8S ribosomal RNA (bases 184-337)
Source: RNAcentral
CAUUAUAGUAAUAUACUAUAGGUCUUGGAGUUAGCCUGCAAAGGCGCUCCAUUACCGCCAAACCUUGUAAAUAUAACUUAAUUGUUACCUCGGUGGGCUCGCCUGCCGGCGGACAUAAUUAAACUCUUUUAAAAAUUGUCUGCAAAUAUUGUAAAAGUCUGAACUUUAAUGUUAAUAUAUUAAAACUUUCAACAACGGAUCUCUUGGUUCUGGCAUCGAUGAAGAACGCAGCGAAAUGCGAUAAGUAGUGUGAAUUGCAGAAUUCAGUGAAUCAUCGAAUCUUUGAACGCACAUUGCGCCCCUCGGUAUCCCGGGGGGCAUGCCUGUUCGAGCGUCAUUUCUACCACUCAAGCAUAGCUUGGUAUUGGGCAUCGUUGCUUUCAAACGUGCCUUAAAUGUAGACGGCGGCAAACACUAGUUCCGAGCGUAGCAGUAAAACAUUUCGCUUUAGAGAAUCUAGUAUAUUGUCAACCGCAUAGUUUUUACUACAGUUUGACCUCGGAUCAGGCAGGGAUACCCGCUGAACUUAA